UACGUAGGGUGCGAGCGUUAAUCGGAAUUACUGGGCGUAAAGCGUGCGCAGGCGGUUUUGUAAGUCAGAUGUGAAGUCCCCGGGCUUAACCUGGGAAUGGCAUUUGGGACUGCAAGGCUCGAGUGCGGCAGAGGAGACUGGAAUUCCUGGUGUAGCAGUGAAAUGCGUAGAUAUCAGGAGGAACACCGAUGGCGAAGGCAGGUCUCUGGGCUGACACUGACGCUCAUGCACGAAAGCGUGGGGAGCAAACAGG
This 253-nucleotide ribosomal RNA is filed under the name uncultured bacterium. RNAcentral's name for it is "partial 16S ribosomal RNA". It matches the Rfam family "Bacterial small subunit ribosomal RNA", at positions 524 to 776 of the family's 1533-position model. The record is from RNAcentral.